GGAUGAUUCUGUGGUCGAUUCAUCAGCACUAGCUGUGGAGGUCACUGAUGUGACCGUCGUAGCAUUGGAUGAUUCUGUAGUUGAAGCAUAGGCACUUGCUGUCGAGGUCCCUGAUGUGACCGUCGUAGCGUUGGAAGACUCUGUGGUCGAUUCAUCAGCACUAGCUGUGGAGGUCACUGAUGUAACCGUCGUAGCAUUGGAUGAUUCUGUAGUUGAAGCAUCGGCACUUGCUGUGGAGGUCUCUGAUGUGACCGUCGCAGCGUUUGAAGAUUCAGUGGUUGACGCCUCUGCACUUGUCGUGGACGACUCCGACGAGACCGUUGUAGCGUUGGAUGACUCUGUGGUCGAUGCAUCGGCACUUGCUGUGGAGGUCUCUGAUGUGACCGUCGUAGCGUUUGAAGAUUCAGUAGUUGACGCCUCCGCACUUGUCGUGGACGACUCCGACGAGACGGUUGUAG
Long non-coding RNA from Neodiprion virginianus, 458 nucleotides. RefSeq lists it as uncharacterized. The record is from RefSeq and is a predicted model, not a curated record. The transcript is spliced from 4 exons. Lineage: Eukaryota; Metazoa; Arthropoda; Insecta; Hymenoptera; Diprionidae.